UAUCUACUCCCUCUGUCCCAAAAUUCUUGUCUUAGAUUUGUCUAGAUACGGAUGUAUCUAAUAUUUAUUAGAUACAUCCGUAUCUAGACAAAUCUAAGACAAGAAUUAUGAGACGGAGGGAGUACUUC
Non-coding RNA from Triticum urartu, 128 nucleotides. NCBI's taxonomy places the organism in Eukaryota, Viridiplantae, Streptophyta, Magnoliopsida, Poales, Poaceae. The record is from Rfam.